UUCCCUACCUAUUUUGAUUUAAUUUGCGAGAAUUAAUUAAAAAUAACUAAAAUAGUGAUGUUUAUUUAAAAAGUCGAUAGAAGUUUGGUUAAUAAAUUAGAAUGCGGUACUUUUGGAGAUGAAAUUUUUUCAGGGUAUGGGAGGAGAUUGAAAAGGUAAUAGUCAUAUUUUUUUUUUUUAGGACAUAAGAGGAGAUUGAAAAGAGGGAGAGAAGGAAAUGGUUUGAUGUUGGCAAAAAACAAUUAUUACGGGUUUUAUGUGUUUAUAAAGGAAUCAAGGAAAAUUAGCUUAUAGUAUUUUGCAUUUUAAAUAUAAGUAUGAAGAUAUUGUAUCUUCUAUUGUAAAAU
RNAcentral lists this long non-coding RNA (347 nucleotides) under Amborella trichopoda. RNAcentral's name for it is "long non-coding RNA (ATRI_LNC001562)". Lineage: Eukaryota; Viridiplantae; Streptophyta; Magnoliopsida; Amborellales; Amborellaceae. The record is from RNAcentral.